Molecule: ribosomal RNA, 441 nt
Filed under: uncultured bacterium
Lineage: Bacteria
Description: partial 16S ribosomal RNA
Rfam family: Bacterial small subunit ribosomal RNA
Source: RNAcentral
CCUACGGGUGGCAGCAGUCGGGAAUAUUGCUCAAUGGAGGAAACUCUGACGCAGUGACGCCGCGUGCAGGAAGAAGGUUUUCGGAUUGUAAACUGUCUUUUAUAGGGAAGAAAAAAGACAGUACCUGUAGUAUAAGCUCCGGCUAACUACGUGCCAGCAGCCGCGGUAAUACGUAGGGAGCAAGCGUUAUCCGGAUUUACUGGGUGUAACGGGUGCGUAGACGGAGAAGCAAGUUAGUUGUGAAAUCCCUCGGCUUAACUGAGGAACUGCAACUAAAACUACUUCCCUUGAGUACUGGAGAGGAAAGUGGAAUUCCUAGUGUAGCGGUGAAAUGCGUAGAUAUUAGGAAGAACACCGAUUGCGAAGGCGACUUUCUGGACAGUAACUGACGUUGAGGCUCGAAAGCGUGGGGAGCAAACAGGAUUAGAUACCCCAGUAGUC